CCAUCGCAUGCGAGCAUCGCGACGGGGGGACCCCAAGUGCCACUCUUAACGGGGUGGCUUUUCUUAAGUGUAAAAAGCUUUUGGAAUAAGGGCUGGGCAAGACCGGUGCCAGCCGCCGCGGUAACACCGGCAGCUCUAGUGGUAGCCAUUUUUAUUGGGCCUAAAGCGUUCGUAGCCGGUUUGAUAAGUCUCUGGUGAAAUCCUAUAGCUUAACUGUGGGACUUGCUGGAGAUACUAUUAGACUUGAGGUCGGGAGAGGUUAGCGGUACUCCCAGGGUAGGGGUGAAAUCCUGUAAUCC
Molecule: ribosomal RNA, 299 nt
Filed under: uncultured archaeon
Lineage: Archaea
Description: partial 16S ribosomal RNA
Rfam family: Archaeal small subunit ribosomal RNA
Source: RNAcentral